CUGAUGAGCGCAGUGUCACUAGGCUGCAACGGAUACGUUACUACUCAAUUCAAUUUUUGUGUGUUUGGCACUAUAAAAAGUGAACUAAAAUACAGUUGUGUGCUCUUAAUAGUCGUGUGCUCUUAAUAAAUAACAUUUGGAGCUGCUCUGUAAAAUGAAUACCCAGAAACCAAAUCUAACAUGGAAUGAUGACGAAAAAUCAUCACGGAAUGGUGACCAAAAAUCGACCUCGCCAGUCAAAGAAGAUAAAAAACCAGUUGACCAGGUCAGACCGCCACGAUGGAAGCGUGCAGGAAAAAAAUGCCAAAAAAACAAAGAAGACGCUGAAAAACGGCUCCAAUUCCUUUUGAAACAAUUAUCGACUCCCCGUCGAUAUAAUUAAAAAAGCGAUCUCAUUCAGAAAAAAUAAUCUUUAUUCUUAAUGAGGGAAGAGGACAUCGAGUUAUGAACUCCCACUUCGCGUGCUUAUAACCGAACGCCCAUCAAGUCAUUUACAUACCAUAAAGUUCACAUUAAACUGAGUAGUGCAGUGGUGAGUGAGUUAGUCUCCCGCCUAUUCUGCUCUGGGUUCAAGUCCUGCCUAAACAGAAUAGUUUAGGCAAAAGUGUUUUUUUUUUUUUUUUUUUCAUUUUUGUUUCAUUAUAUUAUUGAAAUUUAUAAAAUCAUUUACGCGCUUUUAUUGAAAUCACGAAUUGAAUGUCAAAUUAAUUUUUUUGAAUUUUGCAAUUUUUCUAACCCUACUGACUUGGAAAUUAAAAUACCUAUCAGAGUGUACUCGGAAAAAGACAUUUAUCAAAAAAUAAUUUAAUUUAAAAUGUUCCCUGCCUCAUUGAAAGAGAUAUCGAAAAAAAAUGGAAUAAAAUUUUUAAAACAAAUUUUUUGAAAAAUCGUUUUAUUAUACAUCAAAGUUGUUUUAAUAACGAGUCCAUUAUUUCUAAUCAGCAACAAUACUGCUUUGGGAUUUUGUUUACCGUCGAUUUGAUGA
Long non-coding RNA from Venturia canescens, 985 nucleotides. RefSeq lists it as uncharacterized. The record is from RefSeq and is a predicted model, not a curated record. The transcript has 3 exons. Lineage: Eukaryota; Metazoa; Arthropoda; Insecta; Hymenoptera; Ichneumonidae.